UUUAAACUUCACUGCUCUGAGUCAGAAGCCAGAAUGGAUGUUCUACUUGUAGUCAUAGCUGCCAUGCCGCUCAUCUUGGGACAAGAAUAUGAGGAAGAACAAAUAUAUGAAGAUAUAUAUGAAGAUACAUAUGGAGAUUAUCAGGUGGUCUAUUAUACAGUCACUCCAUAUUAUGAUGACUUCGCAGUCAACUUUACUCUUGACUAUUCCCAAUUUGAGGUGGAGGAUAGAAUGAACAUUGAGAAAGAAACUACAGCUGAAACAGGAGACAGGCAGGUUAAUCCUGAGAAAGAACUUCCAGACAAUGGCAUACAGAAGACAACAGAACAAGCCAGUACUCUGUCCACCACACCAAAGGAGAGAUUAUACACAAAGAAGAACGGGGGCCAAGAAGGAAAAGAAGAUGGCCCCAAAAACAGAGAAGGAUCUACUACAGAGGAACCCUCACCUAAGGAUGUUGCUGUGCCCACCUGGCAGCAUCACCUCCCACUCCUCCUUUUGCCCUGGGUUCUGCUGAGGUGGAUAUUGCUACUUUAGAAGGUGAGAGGUCAAGAUAAUUAUGCUCAACCACCUGCUUGGGAGAAAACAGGGAGAGAGAAGGCUGCCAUGACUUCUUUGAAAAAAGAGUCUGGGGUGGGUGCAGAAACUGGAAGAAGAAAUAAAGAAUAACUGAACCACAAA
Molecule: RNA transcript, 681 nt
Organism: Trichosurus vulpecula (common brushtail)
Lineage: Eukaryota; Metazoa; Chordata; Mammalia; Diprotodontia; Phalangeridae
Gene: C7H1orf54
Gene name: chromosome 7 C1orf54 homolog
Exons: 7
Source: RefSeq, a predicted model, not a curated record